Molecule: small nuclear RNA, 21 nt
Filed under: Arabidopsis thaliana (thale cress)
Lineage: Eukaryota; Viridiplantae; Streptophyta; Magnoliopsida; Brassicales; Brassicaceae
Description: snRNA_01451
Source: RNAcentral
AAGCCGGGUUACGGUGCCCAA